This 567-nucleotide ribosomal RNA is filed under the name uncultured bacterium. RNAcentral's name for it is "bacterial SSU rRNA". It matches the Rfam family "Bacterial small subunit ribosomal RNA", at positions 240 to 811 of the family's 1533-position model. The record is from RNAcentral.
AUUAGCUAGUUGGCGGGGUAAAGGCCCACCAAGGCGACGAUCCGUAGCUGGUCUGAGAGGAUGAUCAGCCACACUGGAACUGAGACACUGCCCAGACUCCUACGGGAGGCUGCAGUCGAGAAUCUUCGGCAAUGGGCGCAAGCCUGACCGAGCGACGCCGCGUGGAGGACGAAGGCCUUCGGGUUGUAAACUCCUGUCGAGGGGGAAGAAGGCCCCGCAAGGGGCUUGACUGAUCCCUGGAGGAAGCACGGGCUAAGUUCGUGCCAGCAGCCGCGGUAAGACGAACCGUGCGAACGUUAUUCGGAAUCACUGGGCUUAAAGCGCGUGUAGGCGGGGCGGCACGUCGGUCGCUGAAGCCCCCGGCUCAACCGGGGAAGCGGCGCCGAUACGACCGCCCUGGAGGGACGUGGGGGGACCUGGAACUUCCGGUGGAGCGGUGAAAUGCGUUGAAAUCGGAAGGAACGCCCGUGGCGAAAGCGAGGUCCUGGACGUCUGCUGACGCUGAGACGCGAAAGCCAGGGGAGCGAACGGGAUUAGAUACCCUGGUAGUCCACGCCGUAAACGAUG